This is an RNA transcript of Fragaria vesca subsp. vesca, 2878 nucleotides long. It is a transcript of the gene named UPF0392 protein RCOM_0530710-like, with no coding region annotated. NCBI's taxonomy places the organism in Eukaryota, Viridiplantae, Streptophyta, Magnoliopsida, Rosales, Rosaceae. The transcript has 8 exons. The record is from RefSeq and is a predicted model, not a curated record.
AUGAAAGGACCCAAACCACGUAACAACAACAACAGGAAGAGACCACCGCGCUACGACGAUACUGUUUCCUGGAGCAGGUUCUUCUGGUGCACCUUCUUCGUCUUCUUCAACCUCCUCCUCCUCUCCGGCUUCACCUUCUCCACCUUCCGCCUCCUCUUCGUAGGGCUGUUGAUAAGAUGGCCAAGUGUAACACAAACUGCCGUAACCGUCGACUCUCCGAUCAUCAUUUCCGUCAGAGAAGUAGUUACGAUGCCGGAUCAGUCACUAGUUUUCCUGAACCGCCCUCGAACCGGUCGCUUAUUUACAAAGGAAGAUAUCGACUGUUUUUACUUUUCACCUAAUGACAUGUCCCGCCGGCCUCUCUUCAAGCAACCGCCGCUAGACAUAGACGGCGAGGAUCGCUACAACCAGAUCGUACGGUGCCCGCUUCAUUCCGGAGGCGGCUUUAGGGUUUCAGUUGGUUUAAAGCAAAACGGCGACGUAACGUCGGCGCCGACUUACAUGGGAGUAGCUGGCGUACGACGCGGUCAUUGACCACGAUAACACCACCGUCGUUUUCGUUAAGGGCCUCAAUUUACGGCCGGAUAGGGUUUCCGAUGCUUCGAGGUUCGAGUGCUUGUACGGCUGGGACUUCAGUACUUCCAAGCAUUUGUUGAAAUCCGACGUCGUUUCGUUGGCACAAGAGAUAGUACGGUGUAAAACGCCGUUGAGUGUGUUGACCAAGAGCAAACGUGGGGUGAAGGUUUCAGUUAGGUUGAAAGGCGGAACAAUGGUGGACACUAUAGCCCGGCCGGGGCUCCGGCCCGGACUGGUGGAACCGCCCCGGAAUUAAGAGCAUGUAAUGUGUAUAUGCUCCAUGGUGAGGAACUUGAAGGAAUGGGUGAUGUACCAUGCUGAAAUGGGAGUGCAACGUUGGUUUAUUUACGACAACAAUAGUGAUGAUGAAACUGAUGUUGUAAUUGAGGUGCUUCAGAGUGGGAACUACAAUAUUACCCGGCACCUGUGGCCUUGGAUCAAGACCCAGGAGGCGGCCGGGUUCGGCCAUUGCGCGUUGCGGGCACGCAAGACAUGCCAAUGGGUAGGGUUUAUUGAUGUGGACGAGUUUUUUCACAUGCCUUCGAGAUUGUCACUACACAACGUGCUGCGUAAUCAAUCUAUGUAUGGUUAUGUGGGUGUGGUCCGUCGGGAUUGAGGAGUGUCCCGGUCCAAGGCGUGACAGUCGGGUAUACAUGUCGCGUUACCGCCCCGGAGAGGCACAAGAGCAUUUUGAAGCCGGAGGAGUUGGAUUUGACAUUGAUGAAUGCGGUGCACCAUUUUCAUCUUGGAAGUGGUUACGAGCCAGUGAAUGCGGAUAGGGGAGUGUUGGUUAUCAAGCACUAUAAGUACCAAGUGUGGGAGGUUUUUAAGGAGAAGUUCUAUAGGAGAGUGGCGACCUAUAUGUGGCGGGCUGGCAGGAGGAGCAGAACGUGGGUUCCAAGGAUCGAGCACCUGGGUUGAGGACGAAGGUGGUGGAGCCACCGGAUUGGGCGGAGAGGUUUUGUGAGGUCAAUAACACCGGACUUAGGAACACCCUAGGGUGUUGAAGAACCUGGCUGAUCCGUAUACAGGGUUUUUGCAGUGGCAGGAGGAACUCAAACCCUUCACUUUCUCCGAUCCAGAACACCCAACAAUGGUGAGAGAAGAAGAACCAAAACAGAGCCCAAGAACUCAACCCAGAGAAUCAAACCCAAUUGAGAUCGGAAACAGCACAAGUGGCGGGACUAGCUCGUUGUUCAGCCCCAGAUUCAAAUCGGCGGCCGCCAUAGCCGGUUGGGACGAAGAGAGUCUCUUGAUGGCGAGCCUCAUUGUCGACGACACGCCGGAGCAAGAUACCAAGCAGAAGAAACGAUCUGUUUUCAGGUCCAAGACUACUCCACCCACCAAUUCAUCAAGAAGAAAGCGGAGAGUUCAGCGAAAGAGCCCGGUUUCGAUCCCAGUGGGUGUUCUUGACCUUGAUAGUGUAGAAACUACAAAAGAGGAGAGUGUGAAGGAGAAGGUAGAGCCUGAGAUUGUUGUUGUGAAUGAAGAAAAGAAAAGAAGGGAAAAUGAGAAGAAGGGUGAGAGCUCUGGUGCUUCGUGCUCGAGCUCGAAUCUUCCUUGCAUAGAUAAGCUCAGGGAUGAGCUUUCUUGUGCUAUCUGCUUGGAGAUUUGCUUUGAACCCAGUACCACUCCUUGUGGACACAGUUUCUGUAUGAAGUGCUUGCGAUCUGCUGCGGAUAAAUGUGGGAAGAGGUGCCCCAAAUGCAGGCAGCUAAUGAGCAAUGGAAGAUCUUGCACCGUGAACACGGUUCUGUGGAACACAAUUCAGCUUCUGUUUCCGCAAGAAGUUGAAACAAGGAAAGCAGCUGGAGCCUUGAAUAGUCGUGAAGAAGCUGAGAGGAAAAUCCCUGAUAAGGCCUUUAGUAGUAGCAACUCAAGGAAUCAAAGCAGAAGAGUAUCAGGUAGAGAUCUGGCUGCAAGGAGAAGAAGGGCAGUUUUAAGCCAAGAUGAAGACGAGGAUGAUCCUGCGCCACUUGCUAUAAGGUUACAGAUGAGAGAAGCUCAGAAUCAAAAUCGGGAUCCAGGAACCUUCACUCGACCAGCAAGGAUAUCAGCAGCUAGAGAAAUUCAGCCUAUCAGGAGAGUAUCAAGCAGAGAUGCAAAUCCAACGAGUAAUAGAAGUGUGCCAAACCAAGAUGAGGAUGCUGCAUUAGCUCUGAGGUUACAGAGGGAGGAGUUUAUGGAGGCUUUUAGGGGAACUACUGAUCAGUCUAGUGCCUCUCUUUCGUCUGCUAGAGCAAACAUCCGAGCCAUGGCAUCUAGAGCCACUAAUCGUGGUGCUGCAACCCGAUUUAUGUAA